Molecule: small nuclear RNA, 106 nt
Filed under: Propithecus coquereli (Coquerel's sifaka)
Lineage: Eukaryota; Metazoa; Chordata; Mammalia; Primates; Indriidae
Source: RNAcentral
GUACUUACUUUUGCAGCACAUAUACUAAAAUUAGAACAAUACAGAGAAGAUUAGCAUGGUACCUGCAGAGGAUAACAUGGAAACUCAUGGAGUGUUUGAUAUUUAA